GACGUAGGGCGCGAGCGUUGUCCGGAUUUAUUGGGCGUAAAGAGCUCGUAGGCGGCUUGUUGCGUCGACCGUGAAAACCCGGGGCUUAACUUCGGGCUUGCGAUCGAUACGGGCAGGCUAGAGUUCGGUAGGGGAGACUGGAAUUCCUGGUGUAGCGGUGAAAUGCGCAGAUAUCAGGAGGAACACCGGUGGCGAAGGCAGGUCUCUGGGCAUUAACUGACGCUGAGGAGCGAAAGCAUGGGGAGCGAACAGG
Molecule: ribosomal RNA, 253 nt
Filed under: uncultured bacterium
Lineage: Bacteria
Description: partial 16S ribosomal RNA
Rfam family: Bacterial small subunit ribosomal RNA
Source: RNAcentral